CUACGGGGCGCUGCAGUGAGGAAUAUUGCACAAUGGGGGGAACCCUGAUGCAGCAACGCCGCGUGGAGGAUGACGCAUUUCGGUGUGUAAACUCCUUUUAUAUGUCAAGAAAAUGACGGUAGCAUAUGAAUAAGCACCGGCUAACUCCGUGCCAGCAGCCGCGGUAAUAGCGGAGGGUGCAAGCGUUACUCGGAAUCACUGGGCGUAAAGGACGCGUAGGCGGGUUGGAAAGUCAGGUGUGAAAUCCUACAGCUUAACUGUAGAACUGCACUUGAAACUUCUAAUCUAGAGUAUGGGAGGGGGAGAUGGAAUUAGUGGUGUAGGGGUAAAAUCCGUAGAUAUCACUAGGAAUACCUAAAGCGAAGGCGAUCUCCUGGAACAUUACUGACGCUAAGGCGUGAAAGCGUGGGGAGCAAACAGGAUUAGAUACCCUUGUAGUC
Molecule: ribosomal RNA, 440 nt
Filed under: uncultured bacterium
Lineage: Bacteria
Description: partial 16S ribosomal RNA
Rfam family: Bacterial small subunit ribosomal RNA
Source: RNAcentral